Molecule: non-coding RNA, 140 nt
Organism: Nycticebus coucang (slow loris)
Lineage: Eukaryota; Metazoa; Chordata; Mammalia; Primates; Lorisidae
Product: small Cajal body-specific RNA 1
Exons: 1
Source: RefSeq, a predicted model, not a curated record
ACGUGCUUUUUUGCCUAAUUUAACAAAAAGAAGAGGCUUUACUGCUGGGUUUAAGAAGUACAGUAUUAAAACAAAAGUCAUGAGUCUUUUAAGCCCAGCGUGUAAAGAUACACUCUGAGUUAUAACUCAUAGGCACAAUG